Molecule: long non-coding RNA, 6265 nt
Filed under: Homo sapiens (human)
Lineage: Eukaryota; Metazoa; Chordata; Mammalia; Primates; Hominidae
Description: long non-coding RNA NONHSAT216758.1
Source: RNAcentral
UCUCCCUCUAUUGCCCAGGCUGGAAUGCAGUGGCGCGAUCAUGGCUCACUGCAGCCUCAGACCCCUGUGCUCAAGUGAUCCUCCCACCUCAACCUCCGGAAUAACUGAGACUACAGGCACAUGCCACUACACCCGGCUAAUUUUUAAAAUUUUUUGUAGGGAUGGGGGUCUCACUAUGUUGCCUGGGGUGGUCUUGAACUUCUGGCCUCAAGAGACCCUACGGCCAAAUAGAUGAAUGAGUAAGAUCUUCAAUAACCACUAUCAGCAAUCAAGAUUACUGAAGAGUCUCUGUCAUGUUCUUCUUACCACCAUCCUUCUGAAAUAUAUAUCGGGUUAUCUCAGUCUAUUUAGUAUUGCUCUGAAGGGAGGCCUGAGACUGGGUAAUUUAGAUAGAGAAACAUGUUUAUUUGGCUUACAAUGCUGGUGUCUGAAAAAGUCCAAGUUUGGGCAUCUGCAUCGGUGAGGGUCUCAGGUUGCUUCCACUCUUGGUGGAAGUUGGAGGGGAGCCAGCGGGUGCAGAAAUCACAUGGAGAGGGAAGAAAAGAGAGAGAGGAAGCGCCAGGCUCUUUUAAACAACCAGUUCUUGCAGGAACUAAUAGAGAACUCACUCACAACCCCCUACAGGGAGGUUAUGAAUCUGUUCAUGAGGGAUCUGCCCCAGGACUCAGCACCUCCCGUUAGACCCCACGUCCAACAUUGGAGAUCAAAUUUCAACUUGAGGCUUGGACAAACAUCCAGACUAUAUCAAGUCUUUGUAUUUAGCUAACACUUUGCUUCCAGAGGCUAAGCCUUUCUCAAGAUCGCCAAACAGCUUACUUUAGGAGAGGUUUUCUUGAAUUUUAGCAUGAGUUUUCCCCUGAGAAUGAACCCUCUGCUGUAGCUAGCGGUCCUUUCUUCUUUCCUCUUCUCACAUUAUCUUUCUCUCUCGCCCUCUUUGGCCUUCUCUUGAUUUCCAGCUGCUCUUUGUCUCAACCCAUUAUUCCAUGAGUGGGGAGACAUUUCCGCUUAUUAAAAUCCCUCCCCCAGAGUUCCCCUAAUCCAGAGGAAUUAUCCAGCUGAGCCAGCCGCCCUGUCUGGGUGCUCAGCCCUCAAAGGGGUCUGUGCAUUUUCUGAGCCUGCUCACCUUCCUAAGUAAAGCUAUGAACUGGAAAUCCUAACCCCAACAGCUAAAGUCUGGAGAGGAAUUUAUUUCCCACAGUUGGUCUUUCCUGGCCAUUUAUCAGGUCAUUCCAAGUCUUGCUUUAGCAAACUGAACCCUCGUGAUUUUUUUUUUACUAAGAUGCCACCACCACGUCAAUGUUUAUAUUUCCUCUGUGUCCUUCUGGGAGGUGGCAGGAGAUAGCAUUAGCUCCAUUUCAAAUCAGAAAGAAACUGGAGGACAUCAAAGUCCCCACAUCAUGUGGUUUAUACAACUCAGAGGCUAAGGAAAGACCUAAAUUUUAAGUGUUCUAUUCAAAGCAUCAUCUUAAAUCAGUAGGCUUCACUGUGUUAUUUGAACCAAUCUAAGCUUUUCCAUUGCCCAUAAGAGGGCUCUUUCCUCAUAUCUGUACUGGGAUUUUCAGCAUAGACCCAUAAACAUGGAGAAGGUCCCCACCACCACCUUUUGCUUUCCUGGUGUUCUUCCAAGCCUGGCUGAAGGCAGAGGCUCCUUUGGCGGCCCGUUUUCAGCACACAGGGGCCUGGGAAUAAGAAAAUGUCCUGUUGCUCUACAGAGGACGCAAACAGUGGAUCAGGAUCCCCAUAGCCUUGCUCCGGUGACUCACCCUUCCUGGUCUGUGGGCGCCUCUGAGUAAGCUUUGUCUUGCUGCUCUGCAGAAGUCUCUGAGAAGGUAUGACUUGCUGAGUUCCUAGGAAAACUGCCUACCCUUAGAAAGUGGAUGUGAGAAGGAAAGCAGCAAGCCGGGAGCAGUCACGCACUGGUGUCCCCAGUGCCCCUGCGGCCCAGGGCGGAGGUGACUGCUGAAGUCAGCCUCCUGGAAUGCCUCCAGGUAACCCUCCCUCCCUAUCAAGGUCAAUGAGUCAGAGGAUAGGAGAGAAGCCGUGAGUAAAACUGCACACCAGGUGAAAGAAAGGGAGGAAAGCCGCAUGGACCCUCCACUCCCAGCAGAGAACAGGGGGUGAGUCACUCAGCUCCGCUCCAGGGCACAGGGCAGGACUCUCGGCUCAAGGCUUCAUCCAGCGAGUCCAGCAUAUUCUCCUCUUCAAACAAAUGGAAACUUUCUGCUGCUCCAUGAUGGGAUCACUCUUUCUGGGCUCCUUGGGAGCAAGUGAGAGGAAGCCCUUACCUGCACCAGCAGCCUCCAUAAGGAAGGGAGCAUCCGAUCAGAGGUACGUCCAAAGAGAAGACUGGCAGCUGAGAGAAGAUGAUGGUGACCCUGAUGGUGGAAUAUGGUUUGUGACCCAAAAACCAGUAGUUUCCACACAGGUGGCACAGCCCUUCCUAAGUGGGCUCCAGGGCCAUGGACCUGAGGCCACAGGCCAAGGUGAGGCUGUGGGGGUCCCACACUGCAGCUGAACAGUGAGGCUGCCUGGAGCCCUGGCAUGGUGCCCAGGGUUCUAAAGCCACUGCUGUGAACAGGGUAGAUCAUCCAGGAGAGCGCCCAGAGGUGGGGAAACAGGCCUGCAGCAGGCGGGGACAUCAGCUGGCCUUGCUGUCCUUUGAUUCUCACAGUUACUGCUUUUUGUUCAAAUGUUACCUUAUUUUUAAUUUUAUUUUUUUAGGGACAGGAUCUCUCCUUGUCGCCCAGGCUGGAGUGUAGUGGCACAAUCUUGGUUCACUGCAGCCUUGAACUCCCAGGCUCAAGAGAUCCCUCCAUCUUGGCCUCCCAAGUGGCUACAACUACAGGCAUGUGCCACCACAAGUGGUUAAGUUUUUUUUUAUUAUUAUGAAUUUUGGUAGAGUUAAGGUCUCGCUAUGUUGCCCAGGCUGGUCUCAAACUCCUGCGCUUGAGCAAUCCUCCUGCCUUGGCCUCCCAAAGUGCUGGGAUAACAGGCAUGAUCUACUGUGCCAGGCGUGUUUUUACAUACUUGGGUCCACACUAUACUCAGCACUCCUCAUUCUACUGGGAGAUGCCAAUUGCACAGUCAGGAAGGGGUGAGUAGAGAGUGGUGGACUUGGCCUCAGCCAUGGUCAAGCCGUGGGGGGUUAGGUGGAGGAGGGCGCCAGCCAGGCAGAAAUAGGUUCUCAGUGUAAGGCCCAGUCAAGUGUCUCAUUCACAGGAGGAAAGCCAUUGAAUUCCGCCUUCCCAUUGCCUCCUCCCACUGUCGCCUCUUAACAACGUGGAGCGAUCUCACUACGCUGGACUUCACCGGCAUCCCAUUGCCCUUUCUUUUCACAUUGGCAAUCUCUCCUCUUGCCAAGUAUCUCUUUAUCUUUCUUCUUCUUUCAUUGAAUCCAGCAUGUAAUUACCGCUGAGCAAGUACCAUGUGCCAAACCCUUUAUUAGGACAGGGGUGCGAAGUCCCAGCCUGCAUGGGCUCCCAAUGGCAUUAGGGAAAUGUCACCGCAUCAUCAGAAGAGUCCAAGAGACAAGUGACGCUCAAUCCAAGAAGAAGAAACAACCGCACAAAGGCUCAGAAUUUGAGAAGCACGCGGCGUUUGGAGAGCCAUGGCAGCUGAGGGUGCCCAGAGCACGCUGAAGCCCAGUCUGCAGGGAUCAUUUAUUUCUACAUCCUCUCACCUGGAUCCUGACUCACUCCUGCUUGUCCUUGAUUUGACCCUGAAGCACCACCCACCCUCCCAUUUUCCCAGAGAAGGGAGGAAAAACCGAAUGAGAUCAGCAGCUACGCGAACGGAGAAACCAACCAUGUCAGGAAUCCUAGCAAAAGUGCUCAACAAAAGCAGGAAGGAUGCAAAAAAAAAAAAAAAAAAAAAAAAAAAAAAAAAGAAAAGAAAAAAAGAAAAAAAAAAUCCUCACACAGGAAGUAGGGAGGCAAAAAGUAGAAAGAGAAAAACAAAUUUAGGUCACCUGUGGAAACUACUAAGUUGUCUAAUGAAACCCAGGAUAUGAGAGCAUGAGUUAGAAAAAGCCGGGAAAAUAAUAAUAGCUAAUAGUUACGUAGUAGUCACUAUAUAAAUAUAUUUCUAAGCAUAAAACAUUUGUUAACUCAUUUAAGCCUCACAGAAGUCCUAUGAGUUGAAUACUAUUAUUAUCCCCGCUUUCCAGAUGGGGAGACUGAGACACAGAGGAGAGAACCUAUAGCUAUAUGCAAUGGGUUAGAAUCAGUAAUCUGGCUGGGCGUGGUGGUUUACGCCUGUAAUCCCAGCACUUUGGGAGGUCAAGGCCAGAGGAUCACCUGAGCCCAAGAGUUGGAGACCAGCCUAGGUAACAGGCAGAUCCUGUCUAUACAAAAAAUAAUUUUAAAAAGCUGGGCACAGUGGCUCGUGCCUGUAAUUCCAGCACUUUGGGAGGCCAAGGCAGGCGGAUCACUUAAGGUCGAGAGUUCGAGAUCAGCGUGACCAACAUGGAGAAAUCCCGUCUCUACUAAAAACACAAAAUUAGCUGGGCCCGGUGGCACAUGCCUGGAAUCCCAGCUUCUCGGGAGGCUGAGGCAGGAGAAUCGCUUGAAACCGGAAGGCAGAUGUUGCGGUGAGCCAAGAUCGUGCCAUUACACUCCAGCCUGGACAAUAAGAGCGAGACUCUGCCUCCAAAAUAAUAAUAAAAUAAAAUUUAAAAGUUAAAAAAUUUAAAGAAAUUAGUUGGUUGUGAUGGUGCAUGCCUUUAGUCUCAGCUACUUGGGAGGCUGAGGAGGGAGUAUGACUUGAGUCUGGGAGAUGGAGGCUGCAGUAAGCCAUGAUUAUGCCACUGCACUACAGCUUAGGUAAAAGAGCAAGACUCCGUCUCAAAAAUAACAAUAAAAAUAAAAAAGAAUUAGUAAUCUGCAUCUAACACCAAUUUACAAUGAAUAAGUAUGUAAGGGGUUUGGGAAUCUUCCCUCUCAUUCUCUUCCUAUAUAACUUUCCUGCUCUUCUCACCAGCCAGCGUUGCAUUAGCUAGAGUAUGUUGACAGUGCUGUCUGAAUACAUCAACUCUGGGACCCAGACGUGGCUUUGGCAAACAGCAGUCUAUUUCCACGAAAACCCAAGUGACUCCCGGGGAAGAAAAAUACACACAUAAGUAAAACUUGUCCCAAGGGGAAAGAGGAGCAGGCCGGCCCAUGUCUUCCAAGACUGAAGAGUCAGUUAUCCGGGAGAAGAAUGGCUGUGUUUGUCUUUCAGAUCUUUCCCUGGUCCAGCCUAGUGGACUCAUGCCUGAAUCUUAUUUUAAAUAGAGUAGGGGCUGGGUGCGGUGGUUCACACCUGUAAUCCCAGCACUUUGGGAGGCUGAGGCAGGUGGAUCACUUAACGUGAGGAGUUCGAGACCAGCCUGGGGAACAUGGUGAAACCCCAUCUCUACUAAAAAUACAAAAAUUAGCCAGGUGUGGUGGUGGGAGCCUAUAAUCCCAGCUACUCAGGAGGCUGAGGUGGCAGAAUGAAUCGCUUGAACCUGGGAGGUGGAAGUUGCAGUGAGCCGAGAUCGUACCACCAUACUCCAGCCUGGGCGAUAGAGGGAGACUCUGUCUCAAAAAAAAAAAAAAAAAAAAAAAAAAAGAGUAGAGGUAAUCAUAUAAUUAAAAGUGAAAAUGCCUGUUUCUCAAAACCUUUGGGUAUAAGCUUUAUACCCAAACUUCUGGACCAGUUUAAUGGAGUACAGCCCUCAAAGGGAGGCAAGAAUUCUCUCCCACUUUUCCAAGGAAUAUUAUGCAGUUCAGCAUCUCCUCCCCAACCCUGAGGUUCCAGUACCUCAGCAUCUGCUGUAUGGGCUCUAGGGUGUCUGCAGUGAAAGCAGCUAAUUGGAGGCAGUGAUGUCAAGCAGGGCCAGAGAGGGUGGCAGGGGCUGCAGCACCAGCAGCCAGGCGAUGCUCAGCCUGAGCAUGGCCAAUGCACCCUGUGUAGCAUCCAGGAGAGGCAGCACAUCCCUACCAGAGCCAUGGUACAAAAUACAAGCCACCUGGGUAUCUGGAAGCGAGGGUGGGGCUUGGUAAUAAUUACUAAAGCAUGCAGCACAGCAACAGCCAAAGAGAAGAAAGGGAAAAAAGUGAAAUAUGUAAUCUUAUUCACAAAUAAAUAUAAGAACAAAUUCCACUGAAUCCCUGAAAACAAAAUGUGGGGCGAGGGCAGUAAACGCAACUGACUACUGUAAAUGCAACCUCACCUUAAAAGAUUACCAACUAGCUAAGCAUGGUGGCCCACGCCUGUAAUUCAAGCACUUGGAGGCUGAGGUGGG